CCGCAGCUCCCCGCUAGAGGUGUGCGAUACCGGGAAUUUUUAAUCGAUCCAAUCCAAAGUAAACACAGGCUCCGCCCCACUCUCAUCAACUCAUCAGAUCCUACAGAGCCCGUCUGGUGACAUGGAGAGAAAAAAAGUUUACAAGAUGUGAAAAAGAAGAAUGUAAUCAUCGCAUCUCUGGAUCGACUGGCAUCCACUGAACGUCAAGCCCGGAGGCUAAACUGAAGGCAGUAUUUAUCUUAUCUAUCUUGUUCUCACGCAUUAGUAAC
This is a long non-coding RNA of Fundulus heteroclitus (mummichog), 269 nucleotides long. RefSeq lists it as uncharacterized. The transcript is spliced from 3 exons. The record is from RefSeq and is a predicted model, not a curated record. NCBI's taxonomy places the organism in Eukaryota, Metazoa, Chordata, Actinopteri, Cyprinodontiformes, Fundulidae.